AGUGCCAGCCUCUCUGCACAGAGCAGCAGCGUUCAGCCUGGGCCAGACGUGCUGCGGUGAUGGGUCAGAGCGGGCUCGGAGAGCCAGAGGGUCUGUGGGGCAGCGCUGGGCCCUUCUGCUCCGCACUAAGGCCGGGUGGGCGUGUUCAGCUGGGAUUGGAACCCACCAGCACUUGUGGGUGCGAAUGUGGGGCUGGAACGCAAUGUGGGGCACUCCCACCUUGCCCGGGGGCGACUGGGGGGAAGGGCAGAGAGACACCUGGGCUGAGACCCCAGCUCCAGGGAGACAGUCACCCCGGCCCAGCUGGGUUAAAUUGCCCAGCUGUGUGACAGCCCCCCCAUCCCCGAGGGGUCCCCCCCCGGUAUGUCACAGCAGGGUAAUGUGCGUAUUGAACGGCCGGGGGUUGCCAGAGACUGGCUGGGAGAGGCCUUUGGGGAUGGAGGAAGCAGCACUAAGGUACAUGCCACCCUCCCUACAGAGGAGGGGCCGUGCCCCGCAGGUGUGGGGCAGGGAGCUGGGACACUGCGUGGUGGGUCAUUGUCUGGCCCAGGCCCUUCCUAGCCGGACACCUAGGCCGAGGCAUUUCCUUCAGGUCACCUUCCGCUGCAGCUUGGCCACGGGCCCCCAUAGCCACUAGCCCAGCCAGGGAUCCAAGUCGGGAUUGUCACGGCUGGCUCCUCCCUGCCACCAGCAGCUCUUCACUGCCAGGGAAUUCCUGAAAUCCUGUGUGCCCAUGUUAGGCCCAAAAACCGAAAAACAUGUUUAUCUCGGCUUCUGCUUGUUAUCCCAGUAAACAUGCUUAUCUCAGUUCUCACUGUCGUUUCCCAUGCAUGAAGCUGCACGUAUACAGGAUGUAUAGAAGAUAUAUGGCAAAGGGGAGGGGACCCUGGGAAAGGAAUGUGAAGGACGGGAAGCUAAACAGAUGUAUCCUGAUUACUACUAGAACUGAAUUUAAACAAAGCAUAGGUUAGCAGAAUUUAGACACGCUAAGUUGUUUGUCUCUCUGUAUAAAAGAAGCCCAGUUGUGCUUGUAAGGUGUGUUCCUCUCUCUGGCAUGAGUCGAGGGGGACACCCGCUCAGCUGACUGAUCAAUAAAGAACUUGAAGCCAUCUUCUCGACUCCCGUGCCUCCUUGGGGUAAUUGGGCAGCUCCAGGGGGAAACGAGCCCAUUUGGCUAACAAAUGGCGACUCCGCCGGGACUUCUCUCCCUGUAGAGGGCACUGACCGACGGCCGAGGGCGAUUCCGAGGAGUGGCCACCUCGAGCUGUUGCUUUGCUCGGGCCUCGGAUCGUCACAAUCGGCCGGGGCGGCUGCGUCCUCUCUAAAGAGAACUCUGAAGGACACGGAAGCAAGACGGCUUCAGAAGGAGGGGAAGUCUGACUGCCGGACGCGGCCACUUCGGGCGGUAAGUGCGUUUACCUCCUGGGUUUGAGGAAUAACGCCCCCGAGGUGUGGGUUGGACAUGGUGGAAAUCCCCUAGGCAGCCUGUAUACGGGAAGCUGCAUCGACGCAGUGCCUUUUCAGGCCCUUCCCUUGGACCAGCCCAUGUACCCAUUCCAGAUCGGUGAUCAGGUCCUCGUCAAGAAGUGGAAGCGUGACCCCCUUACACCACGGUGGGACGGCCCGCAUACUGUCUUGCUUAUCAGCCAAGCUGCAGUCAAAGUUCUUGGGAGUGACAAAUGGGCACACCAUACACAGGUAAAGUGGUUUCUGAACCCUAACCCGGAGACUGAACUAGCGGAAGAGGACACCAGCCCUCUGCCCGCCCCGGCUCCGGAUGCCCGGGGUGGCACAGGUGAAGACUCCACCUGGGAGUAUCAGUACUUAGACGGACUAAAGGGACUGUUUAGAAAAAGAUAAUGAAAUUAUUGUUAAUAUUUUUGUUUAUGUGCUUCCACCACUAUUAUGGUUGGGAAAAUAGGUUUUUACAGCUGGGGGGAGACAAUUGCAAAAUCCAUUAACCUCAGUAACUGUUGGGUAUGCGGAGGCCCAGGGGAAUUAAAUGAAUGGCCUUGGGUAGCCCAGCCGGUACAGCCCAAAUGGUGGCUCAGCAAUUUGAGUAUAAUCCACGAUGGAACGGGGGUUUGGACUGAGGAUAGUAGCCCCUGGCGACUGUAUUCUUCUGGAAAGGGUAUUCUCUGCCUUAAUUGGACAAGGCGGGAGGGAGUGUACUUGGGAGAAAGCAAGUAUGAUUGGACUCUAUCCCCAGGGUUUGAUUGCUGGGACCCUUAUUGUCAUCUGUAUGACUGUUCUAAAUAUCAGGGGCAAUGGAACCAGACCCAUGUGAGGCUCACCAAUAAUAGUUGGGUGAAAUGCUCCAAACAAUACUACCCUACGGCCGAAGGUUGCAGGGCGGUAGGACAGGAUGGGUUCUUUGACGCCCUAUUCACGAGUUGCCAGCUAAACAAUACCACUAGCAAGGACCACGUGGUACGGUGGUUUCAAAUGGGCAUGGCAAAAUCAAAAUGGAACUCGAGUAUGGGGUUUUAAACAAUUCUGGUCUAGCACCAAUCAGCCAAAAUGGGGCUGCGAUUGUGUCUGGAAAGCAGGAGCUGGGGCAUGGAGAUGUGAUUAUUGCAGUUCAGCUGAUGGAAUGGUGGGGGGACCUUUAGGGCCAGGUAAUCCUUUAUAUUUUGACCAUCUAGAGGACGAUGAGAAUGAGGAAACCUGGGAUGGCCCCUUUGCUAAUGGAACCUGGGCUCUAAAGGGCCAUUAUUGGAUCUGCGGGUCCUAUGCCUACUGAAGAUUGCCUCCAAAUUGGUCUGGGAUAUGUUAUGUUGGAUAUAUAAGACCCUUGUUCUUUCUAUUACCCCAGAUGCAGGGAAAUAAAUUGGGAAUUAAGGUUUAAUUAGAGAAAGGCGGUUCGUGGAUUCCACCCUGACCGCCGGAAGCUCCCAAACAUGGGGGGCUCAGGAGUGGCCCCCUGAGAGAAUUAUAAAACAUUAUGGUCCAGCUACAUGGAAUCCUAAUGAGUGGAUCUCAGGGGCCAGGGAGCCCAUUUACAACUUGAAUCGGAUAAUUAGGCUGCAAGCCAUUUUAGAAAUAAUAACUAAUCAGACGGCUGCAGCUCUUGAUCUUUUGGCCGAUCAGUCCACUCAGAUGAGGAAUGUGCUCUACCAGCACCAUCUAGUUCUUGAUUAUUUGCUGGCAGAAGAAGGGGGAAUCUGUGCAAAAUUAAACUAAUCUAAUUGCUGUUUACAAAUAGAUGAUAAUGGAAAGGCGGUAAAACAGCUAAUGAAAGAAAUGAGGAAGUUAGCCCAUGUCCCGGUCCAAACAUGGGGUGGGUGGAAUACGGACUGGUUCACGUCCUGGUUACCGCAACUGGGAUGGCUCCGAGAAGGCCUUCUUCUUUUUGUACUCUUUAUUACAACCCUAUUAACCCUAGCUUGCUUAGCUCCCUGUGUAGUUGCAUUAGUCUGACGAAUGGCUAAUCAAAUUAUACACCAACAAAUGAUGGCCCUAUACCAGCCGGUGAAGGCUGAGGAUUGGGGGCCAUAAGGCUCUCAAAAUGCUUUUUAGGGGGGAAUCUUGUUAGGCCCAAAAACCGAAAAACAUGUUUAUCUCGGCUUCUGCUUGUUAUCCCAGUAAACAUGCUUAUCUCAGUUCUCACUGUCGUUUCCCAUGCAUGAAGCUGCACGUAUACAGGAUGUAUAGAAGAUAUAUGGCAAAGGGGAGGGGACCCUGGGAAAGGAAUGUGAAGGACGGGAAGCUAAACAGAUGUAUCCUGAUUACUACUAGAACUGAAUUUAAACAAAGCAUAGGUUAGCAGAAUUUAGACACGCUAAGUUGUUUGUCUCUCUGUAUAAAAGAAGCCCAGUUGUGCUUGUAAGGUGUGUUCCUCCCUCUGGCAUGAGUCGAGGGGGACACCCGCUCAGCUGACUGAUCAAUAAAGAACUUGAAGCCGU
Malaclemys terrapin pileata is the source of this 3905-nucleotide long non-coding RNA. RefSeq lists it as uncharacterized. The record is from RefSeq and is a predicted model, not a curated record. The transcript has 2 exons. NCBI's taxonomy places the organism in Eukaryota, Metazoa, Chordata, Testudines, Emydidae.